GGCUCGUUGGUCUAGAGGCAUGAUUCUCGCUCAGAGGUCCCGGGUUCAAAUCCCGGACGAGCCC
Molecule: transfer RNA, 64 nt
Filed under: Oryzias latipes (Japanese medaka)
Lineage: Eukaryota; Metazoa; Chordata; Actinopteri; Beloniformes; Adrianichthyidae
Rfam family: tRNA
About the family: Transfer RNA (tRNA) molecules are approximately 80 nucleotides in length. Their secondary structure includes four short double-helical elements and three loops (D, anti-codon, and T loops).
Source: Rfam by way of RNAcentral